This 357-nucleotide ribosomal RNA is filed under the name uncultured bacterium. Its description in RNAcentral is "bacterial SSU rRNA". It matches the Rfam family "Bacterial small subunit ribosomal RNA", at positions 69 to 422 of the family's 1533-position model. The record is from RNAcentral.
UGCUUGAGUAGCAAUACGAGAGUAUCCUAGUGGCGAACGGGUGAGUAACGCGUUGGUGACCUACCCCAAAGUGUGGGAUAACAGUCCGAAAGGAUUGCUAAUACCGCAUGUGGUCAUUGGAUUUAGAAACUGAUGACUAAAGGAGCAAUUCGCUUUGGGAGGGACCUGCGUCCCAUCAGCUAGUUGGUGAGGUAAUGGCUCACCAAGGCUACGACGGGUAGGGGACCUGAGAGGGUGGCCCCCCACAAUGGAACUGAAACACGGUCCAUACACCUACGGGUGGCAGCAGUAGGGAAUAUUGCACAAUGGGCGAAAGCCUGAUGCAGCAACGCCGCGUGUGCGAUGAAGGCCUUCGGG